AGAGUUUGAUCCUGGCUCAGAAUCAACGCUGGCGGCGCGCUUAACACAUGCAAGUCGCACGAGAAAGUGGAGCAAUCCAUGAGUACAGUGGCGUACGGGUGAGUAACACGUGGAUCAUCUACCUCUUGAUGGGGAAUAACCCUGGGAAACCGGGGCUAAUACCGCAUAAGCCUGAAAAGGGAAAGCAGCAAUGCGUCGAGAGAGGAGUCCGCGGCCGAUUAGCUAGUUGGUAGGGUAAAAGCCUACCAAGGCAAUGAUCGGUAGCCGGCCUGAGAGGGCACACGGCCACACUGGCACUGAAACACGGGCCAGACUCCUACGGGAGGCAGCAGUGGGGAAUCUUGCACAAUGGAGGAAACUCUGAUGCAGCGACGCCGCGUGAGCGAUGAAGCCCUUCGGGGUGUAAAGCUCUUUCGGCAGGAACGA
This 426-nucleotide ribosomal RNA is filed under the name uncultured bacterium. RNAcentral's name for it is "bacterial SSU rRNA". It matches the Rfam family "Bacterial small subunit ribosomal RNA", at positions 8 to 448 of the family's 1533-position model. The record is from RNAcentral.